Molecule: ribosomal RNA, 618 nt
Filed under: Triticum aestivum (bread wheat)
Lineage: Eukaryota; Viridiplantae; Streptophyta; Magnoliopsida; Poales; Poaceae
Description: partial small subunit ribosomal RNA
Source: RNAcentral
AUGAACAUUUUAGCCUGGAACUGUCGGGGGUUGGGGUUGGACCCGACGGUGGGCAAAUUACAGGACCUUGUUAGGUCAUACAACCCGGCGGUGGUUUUCUUAUCAGAAACUAAAAAAACAGCAGAAGCGAUGGAGAGAUUGAAGUGGAGUCUAGGAUUUAGGCAUGGGGUAGCUGUGAACUGCAACGUCAAGAGUGGGGGACUGGCGUUAUGGUGGAAAGAACAUGUGGAUAUAACGGUGAGGCCGUGGUGCCAAUACUACAUCGAUGCCCAAGUUGUGCUGGAUGGUGUCACCUUUAGAUUCACUGGAAUCUAUGGGGAGCCAUGUGUGGAGAAGAGAAAGAAAACCUGGGAUGUGCUUCGGUACCUACGAGCACAGGAUAAUCUCCCAUGGCUAUGUGCAGGGGACUACGACGAGGCUCUUAUACAGAAAGAGCAGUUGGGUGGUAACCCGAGGUGUUUGAGCCAAAUGGAGAGCUUCGCUGAAUGCUUGACCGACUGCGGGCUCGCUGAUAUAGGCUACUCGGGAUAUCCAUUCACAUGGGAUAGCAAAAGAGAUGGAAACGAGAACAUUCAAGUGAGGUUGGACCGGGCCACCUGCAACGCUGACUUUGCAUAG